RNAcentral lists this ribosomal RNA (429 nucleotides) under unidentified bacterium TMB821. RNAcentral's name for it is "bacterial SSU rRNA". It matches the Rfam family "Bacterial small subunit ribosomal RNA", at positions 54 to 497 of the family's 1533-position model. The record is from RNAcentral.
CAUGCAAGUCGAACGAUGAAGGGAGCUUGCUCCUGGAUUAGUGGCGAACGGGUGAGUAACACGUGAGUAACCUGCCCUUAACUCUGGGAUAAGCCUGGGAAACUGGGUCUAAUACCGGAUAUGACUCCUCAUCGCAUGGUGGGGGGUGGAAAGCUUUUUGUGGUUUUGGAUGGACUCGCGGCCUAUCAGCUUGUUGGUGAGGUAAUGGCUCACCAAGGCGACGACGGGUAGCCGGCCUGAGAGGGUGACCGGCCACACUGGGACUGAGACACGGCCCAGACUCCUACGGGAGGCAGCAGUGGGGAAUAUUGCACAAUGGGCGAAAGCCUGAUGCAGCGACGCCGCGUGAGGGAUGACGGCCUUCGGGUUGUAAACCUCUUUCAGUAGGGAAGAAGCGAAAGUGACGGUACCUGCAGAAGAAGCGCCGGC